This 465-nucleotide ribosomal RNA is filed under the name uncultured Klebsiella sp. RNAcentral's name for it is "bacterial SSU rRNA". It matches the Rfam family "Bacterial small subunit ribosomal RNA", at positions 338 to 795 of the family's 1533-position model. Lineage: Bacteria; Pseudomonadati; Pseudomonadota; Gammaproteobacteria; Enterobacterales; Enterobacteriaceae. The record is from RNAcentral.
CCUACGGGUGGCAGCAGUGGGGAAUAUUGCACAAUGGGCGCAAGCCUGAUGCAGCCAUGCCGCGUGUGUGAAGAAGGCCUUCGGGUUGUAAAGCACUUUCAGCGGGGAGGAAGGCGUUAAGGUUAAUAACCUUGUCGACUGACGUUACCCGCAGAAGAAGCACCGGCUAACUCCGUGCCAGCAGCCGCGGUAAUACGGAGGGUGCAAGCGUUAAUCGGAAUUACUGGGCGUAAAGCGCACGCAGGCGGUCUGUCAAGUCGGAUGUGAAAUCCCCGGGCUCAACCUGGGAACUGCAUUCGAAACUGGCAGGCUAGAGUCUUGUAGAGGGGGGUAGAAUUCCAGGUGUAGCGGUGAAAUGCGUAGAGAUCUGGAGGAAUACCGGUGGCGAAGGCGGCCCCCUGGACAAAGACUGACGCUCAGGUGCGAAAGCGUGGGGAGCAAACAGGAUUAGAUACCCGAGUAGUC